AUGUUUAAAUACAAGUGUUUAUCAGUUUUGACUUGUUUUGCAGUAUUGUAUCUUCUUUUGCUUUAUUUUAGAUGGAUUGAUUUGCUGCCAUUGUUUUACUUUCACAUCUGUGCUGUGCAUGCAAGGAGAUUCCUUGCUGAAUGGCCAUAUCCUCCAAACAUUGUUCUUCAAGAACCUUUGAGGGUGACAGCUAUCCAUUCAGCAUUAAUGGAAGCAGCAUGCGCAGAGAUGUUUUUUUUUUACCACCAUACAGUGUCUUACAGCCUCAGAGUUGAAACCUCAAUGCUUACAUUGCUGGACUUCGCUGCAGCUUCAUCAGAGUGAAGUACAAGAUGAUGGCCCUGGUGAGAGGGCUCACCCUCUCACUGUGUACAAAUGUUUGUGGUUUAGAGCCCAGUUUUCCAAAGAGAAGUCCAGAGUACACAAUACGUCACCUGUUUGUAUUCCAGCUCCAUGAGGAAACUAAGACAGAAUUAUACAGCGUUUCCAGAUCAGCUCUCCCAUGGGGCUUCAAGGCUGAGUUUUGGUCUCUGCAACACACAAAAAU
This 547-nucleotide long non-coding RNA is filed under the name Anser brachyrhynchus (Pink-footed goose). RNAcentral's name for it is "lncRNA (ENSABRG00000022996.1)". The record is from RNAcentral. Lineage: Eukaryota; Metazoa; Chordata; Aves; Anseriformes; Anatidae.